Molecule: unclassified non-coding RNA, 19 nt
Filed under: Casearia grewiifolia
Lineage: Eukaryota; Viridiplantae; Streptophyta; Magnoliopsida; Malpighiales; Salicaceae
Description: ITS2
Source: RNAcentral
CGACCCCAGGUCGGGCGGG